This 484-nucleotide ribosomal RNA is filed under the name uncultured bacterium. RNAcentral describes it as "partial 16S ribosomal RNA". It matches the Rfam family "Bacterial small subunit ribosomal RNA", at positions 30 to 507 of the family's 1533-position model. The record is from RNAcentral.
AUUGAACGAUGGCGGCAGGCCUAACACAUGCAAGUCGAGCGGAUGAAGGGAGCUUGCUCCUGGAUUCAGCGGCGGACGGGUGAGUAAUGCCUAGGAAUCUGCCUGGUAGUGGGGGAUAACGUCCGGAAACGGGCGCUAAUACCGCAUACGUCCUGAGGGAGAAAGUGGGGGAUCUUCGGACCUCACGCUAUCAGAUGAGCCUAGGUCGGAUUAGCUAGUUGGUGGGGUAAAGGCCUACCAAGGCGACGAUCCGUAACUGGUCUGAGAGGAUGAUCAGUCACACUGGAACUGAGACACGGUCCAGACUCCUACGGGAGGCAGCAGUGGGGAAUAUUGGACAAUGGGCGAAAGCCUGAUCCAGCCAUGCCGCGUGUGUGAAGAAGGUCUUCGGAUUGUAAAGCACUUUAAGUUGGGAGGAAGGGCAGUAAGUUAAUACCUUGCUGUUUUGACGUUACCAACAGAAUAAGCACCGGCUAACUUCGUG